UGACAUCAUGGAGAGACGUUCUGCUAAGGCUCCAAGGAGGUUUGAUGAAGAAGAGGAUUUAUCUGGAAAGAAGAAGAGGACAACAGUUGCAUCAGCUGGUGAUACAGUGGUUGUCUGUGACCCCUCUAUUAGUUCUACACUGACUUCUCUAUCCCUUCCCCUGCAGUAUCAUCUGCUGCUGGGGCCCUUCCUAUAACAGCUUCUUUUCUGCCUAUCUAUUCUAUCCCUGUCACUAGUUCUGCUCCUGGACCUAUUUUUUCUGCUCCAGUCUCCCUACCUAGCCUGGUUACUUCCUCUGCUGUCUCUUUCCCUAUUCAUUCUUUACCUUUGGGCUCUAUUUGUCUUCCCACCCGUUUUUCUGUCCCUACAGUGGCUAAUCUAUCCCUCUCUGCACCCAUUUUGCCUCCUUCCCGGUCCCUUGUGGCCUCAUUUGCCUCUGAUUUACAGAGGCAUGAUGCUGAGGAUUAUUUGAUGCUAUCACCAGAGCUCCGUUUUUCACAACGGAGCCCUGGGAGAUCCCCUUCGCCCUUGUUUGUUUCAGGGCAGCAGGGGAUGGAGGGCAGGCCUUGUGCUCCAUUUUUGGAACCGCAUGGCCUCCGGUUUCUCCCUUCCCCUGUGGCUGGCCCAUCGCGCGUGCCCGGCGUAGCCACGCCCACCCCUGUUCCGGCCGCCAUCUUGGUUGCGGUUUCUGUGAGUUCACAUCACAAGGUGGCUGGGGCUGAGUUGGGUGUGCGCGCGGCUCCAGUCACAGUAGAAGUGACUAACGCUAAGGUAAGGGGAGCACCACGGGCGGGCAGGGGGUCCCGCAGGUCACUUACCCGCAACAAAGGGGGGAGAGAUCUGGCUAAUAGAAGGGGGGGGAGAGCCGUGAGGGGUGUCGCAGGUCAAAAUAAUUUACCAGGCGUAGAUAAGCCUGUUUCCCCUAGACAACGAGCAUUUAAAGGGCCAAUAGGAACAUUUAUAAGAGAUGUGAGGGGUAUUGUAGGUACACAAAAUGCUUUACCAGGCAUAGAUAAGCCUGUUUCCCCUAGACAAUGAACAUUUAAAGGGCCAGUAGGAACAUAUGUAACGCCUAAUAGAGGAUUGGCAAACGUUAGACUAGGGCACAUGGAUUUAAUGUCUAGCCUUAAAAAAGGCUAUUAGCCAGGAAUAUUGUUGGGGAGCAAAAUGUUGGGGCCAGGUUUACUGAGGUUGCGGCUGGGGGGUCCGCUGGGCCGUCUGUUUCUGCCUGUGGUGCUCCCUCUGUUUUUUCUGUUACACAGGUAGAAAGCAAUAGCAGAGGAAUGGCAGAGGUGAAUCUUGGCGGUCAGGAGAUGCUUGUGUCUGCACCCAGGGAGGUAACUACCGGAGGAGAGGCUGCGGUGACAACAGUAGGAGCAAUAUCCUCAACUGCGGUGUCAGGAAGUGGUCAGGUUGCAGUUUGCAAGCGGAUAUGAAUUGUCGGCCAUUCCUAUAUCCAUUGGGCGGCUAUUCGGGCUGCGGCACAGCCAGGAGGACACCAGCUGGGACUGCCAUCCGAAAGAUGUCUAUUAGGUGGCUAGGCAGGAGGGGUAUGAUGUGGAGGCAUUUACCGGAGCAAUUGGCAGAGGCCAGGAGGAGAUGGGGCAAGCCUCACGUCAUUCUCCUUCAUUUGGGAGGAAAUGACAUAGGGACAAUGCCAAUGGGAGACCUAUCGGACAUAAUGGUGUCAGACAUUAAGUGGUUAAAACUCAGUUUCAAGGUGUGACCAUUAUUUGGUCAAAUAUUAUUUCAAGAAAUGUUUGGAGGCACAUGGCUACCAGGAAGGCGGGUUUCCGAGUGAAACGGAAACUUAAUAGGGAUGUGAGUAGGGUAGUGUUAGAGACUGGUGGUAAGGUGGUCUCACAUGAUAACAUCAGGAUUGAUUAUGUGGGUUUGUUUAGAAAGGACCAGGUACACUUGUCAGAGAGGGGUACGGAGUUGUUUUUGGGUAAUAUCAGGCAGGUCCUGGCUUCCUGUUUUUGUAAGUGGGGCAAGAGUACCUUGUCCUCUUUUGGGUGGCGGAAAGGGGUGUGGCAACAAAGUUAAUUCAUAGGACAAGGAUAGAAGGAAGGGACAGUGAGUGUUGAGGACCCUAGUCGCUGAGGGGCUAGGGAUUGUUGGCUCGCUGGGCAAUCUUCCUUGAACGGACAGGUAGGCGGAAUGAGGGCAUCCUCAUUCCCAGGGCGGCCACACCCCUUAGUGGGUUGAUAGGACAGGAUAUCUUGCCAGCUAGUAGCAGUUGUUAUUUAAUUUAUUUAAGUCUGUUUAAUAAAACAACCCCUCCCCCCGUUGGGGGGGGUUGGUUUUCUCCCAACCCUGAGUGUCGUGUCUUUUAUUGAAGGUAUGGGUUAUUAAGUUGGUGGGUGGUUAAUAUCUUGAAUGGAUUCAGGUAAGAAAUUUAUCCCCUUAGGAAAGUGUAGGACCUACCUAGGGACGAAACAAGUUAAGGGGGAAUUUAUUCUGAAGGAAGGAAAGAGAGGAAAGGAUUAAAAUAGGAGGGUAGUAUGCUGGACAGCUAGAGAACAGGAGGAGGAGAUUCAGAAGUGAUAAAAGGAAUGUUAAAACAGAAAGUAAAUCGCUAACCUGUUUCUUGUCUUCCCUUCCAGCCCUCCCUGUGGUUUAUGUUAUUGCUUUACAGGUGGUGAAGCAGAUGGACGAAUGGUUUGUGAUUUCAGCUGGCUUAGUCUUCCUUUGGCAGGGGGCUACAUAGUCAUGUGGACCUUUGUAAGCCCAAGGGUGUUAAUGAGUAGUAUGGGGUCUCCCGACUAACAGUCUUUUGGCUGGGGGACCGAUGUCUAUUCAGUUUGGAGACCUCUCCACCCGGUAGGUAGUUGGAGUUUGCAUGGCGUCAUGCUUUCUCAGGGCGGCGGAAAGGGGUGUGGCAACAAAGUUAAUUCAUAGGACAAGGAUAGAAGGAAGGGACAGUGAGCGUUGAGGACCCUAGUCGCCGAGGGGCUAGGGAUUGGUCGGCUCGCUGGGCGAUCUUCCUUGAGCGGACAGGUAGACAGAAUGAGGGCAUCCUCAUUCCCAGGGCGGCCACACCCCUUAGUGGGUUGAUAGGACAGGAUAUCUUGCCAGCUAGUAGCAGUUGUUAUUUAAUUUAUUUAAGUCUGUUUAAUAAAACAACCCCUCCCCCCGUUGGGGGAGGUUGGUUUUCUCCCAA
Molecule: long non-coding RNA, 3163 nt
Organism: Bombina bombina (fire-bellied toad)
Lineage: Eukaryota; Metazoa; Chordata; Amphibia; Anura; Bombinatoridae
Exons: 2
Source: RefSeq, a predicted model, not a curated record